AACGCACGAGACCUGCGGACCUGCGGAGGGAUCAUUAAUGAGUUGCAAAACUCCCUAAACCAUUGUGAACCUACCUGUACCGUUCCUUCGGCGGGCGGCGUCAAGCCCUAACCCGUCUCCCUUUACGGGGGAUGGACCCGCCGGAGGCUCCUAAACUCUUAACUUUUGUUGGCAUCUCUGAGUAAAUCAAAAUAAGUCAAAACUUUUAACAACGGAUCUCU
This 221-nucleotide unclassified non-coding RNA is filed under the name soil metagenome. RNAcentral describes it as "partial contains 5.8S ribosomal RNA, internal transcribed spacer 2, and large subunit ribosomal RNA". The record is from RNAcentral.